This is a non-coding RNA of Sus scrofa (pig), 2608 nucleotides long. Lineage: Eukaryota; Metazoa; Chordata; Mammalia; Artiodactyla; Suidae. The record is from RefSeq and is a predicted model, not a curated record.
UUUUCAAGGCCAGCUGGGGGUUGCAGGUGUCUGUGCCCAGCUCCCGCUCAGGUCUCCGACUGGUGGCCGGCGAGGUGACAGGGCCGUUAAUGUGGUCAGCCCUGAGGAGCCAGGAGGUCUGGGGGCCGCGUUCUCAAGAUCAUCAAGAAAUUAAUUUCUUCCACCUGGUGGGGGUGUCUGGCAUCUGGAAAACUUCAGGAAAGACGCGUGAGGUACUAUUUUUCUGGGCACUUCAGAGAUAAGGGACAGCAGGGGAUCUGAGGGAGGGGUCUGUCCCAGGAAGGCCCCAGAGGGUCCCGCUUGGUUACAGUGGCAGCCCAGCCCCAGGACCCACCAGCAGCUCCAUCCUCCCCCACCUCCAGCACCCAUCUCCUACCUGAGGUGCCUGGCCCUGCUCAGCCUCCCCGAAAUGACAGCUACCGUGGAGAGGACAGCUACUGUGGAGACGGCCAGCACGAAGGUGCCACUGUCCCUCCCGACAAGACUGUAGGUGAUGGGUGGGCUGCCCGAGGAUGCCCAGCACGACACCUUCACCCAAGGGCCCGACGGGCCUCCGUCCAGCAGGAUGAAGUUAACCAGCAGCUGGGACACGGGCUCUGGCAGGUGCGACAGGGAGACUUUAACCCCCUCUCCCGAGCAGAUCCCCUCACUGCACAGCCCCACGAGCCUAGAGGCCUGACUGCUGCUUCCUCCAGGCAGCCUUCUGGAUUACUCCCUCCGUCUUGUGUCUGAGCUGCUACCCUCCGAUCUUUUAACCACCCAAGAAGUUAAACCAUCCUUGCAGUGUAUAUAUGCCGUGCAAUUUCACCUUGGGUUUUAUUCUCGUGUAGUAUAUUCUGGAUUGCUGGACUUUGCAGCUCAACAUACAGGACACCAAGUUAAUUUGAAUUUCAGAUUAACCCUGAAUAAAAUUUAGUAUGAGUAUGUCCUGAACCUUAUGUAUCUGGCAACACUAUUUAUAGUCUUUCAAUCUUGACUUUUUUUUUUACUGGAAUACAUGCUCCUUUAGGAUAUGAGCUGCCACGUAGGAGUUCCCUGACAGCAGGUUAAGGAUCUGGUGGUGUCACUGCUGUGGCUCAGCUUGCUGCUGUGGUUCGGGCUUAACCCCUGGCCCUGGCACUUCCAUGUGCCAUGGACAUGGUCUUGAUUAAAAAGAGAACAACAACAAAAAAGAACUCAGAAGAUUCUAGAUUCUCGAAUUUCCCCAGCGCCAUCAGCCUAGUGCUGUCAACAGCCUUACCUCUGAGUAACAGCCGUCACCUGUCUUCCCGUAGUCGCCCCCCUACUAAAAGCUCCCCCUGGAUUCUUUCCCCUCCUGGGGGAGGGCUGUGAUUAACGCAACCUGAGGCCCAGGGAGGCUGUGACUUGCCCAAGGCUCUGUAGCCGGUAAACCUCCCGGGUGGUGCACCAGCCCCUGGGCUCUCCCUGCCUGAGGGUGGUGGGGGUCUCAGCCCUGCCGCUGGCGAGCCGUGCCCUCUGCUUCGCACCCCAGGCCUCCCACCAGGACGGAAGCCUGGGUCAGAUCCAAUAGCAAAGGGGGGGUACCAGUUCGGAGCUCAAGAGAGGGAGGCGUGAAGCCAUCCUUUGCCAUUUGCUAGCCGGAUGGCCUGAGGCGACACUGUUCAUCUCCAAGAGUUGUAGUGUCCACUGCAAACCUUACUCUCGUGCCGCCGUGAGGAUUAAACUAGACAUGGCACAAACACAGCCUUCUCUACCAGCUUGAGGUCACGGCUCAACAAAUGGGGCCCAGGGCCCGGUCACUGCCGCCCUCCGGCUGUUUCUCACUCUGCCUUCAGGACCUACCCCGGCCUGUGACCAGGCCCUGAGGGACGGAGAGUGGCCCCUGAAGGCAGGCAACUUGUCCCAUCUCCUCCCUCCUGCCUCCGUCCCUCUAGCCCUCACCCUGAGUCCCACCCCAGGAGUCUCCAUUUAUCUUCCAGACCCUGCGCUGCAGGGGUCCCUGCCGCGCCCAGGGCACUCCAUGCCCCACAGCUUCCCUGCAACUGCAGCUGGGUGCUCGGUGCGCGGUGCGCCCUGUGUACCCCAGGUGGAGGCUGUCCGGCAGGCGUAGGUGAGGGGGGCUGGCCUGCAGGUGUGACCCCGAUGGUGUUGGAGGCUGGGCCGUAGGUCCCCACCCCCUUCUUGGUGAUCUCAGUGGCCCCACCGCCCCAGAGAGAGGAGCUGAUGGACGGUUGUACCCCCGGCGAGUGGUGCCUUAUGAGUACUUGGCGGCCUCUGGGGACAACCUCCAGGACUUUGUGGGCCGUCUCGGUUAGCAAGCUGACUGCUGGAGGGUGAAACAGUCCAAGGAGGAAGGAAACCAAUAUUGAUCAAGUACCUUAGGAAAAUGCUGGAGUUCCCGUCAUGGCCCAGUGGUUAACAAAUCUGACUAGGAACCAUGAGGUUGUGGGUUCGAUCCCUGGCCUUGCUCAGUGGGUUAAGAAUCCGGCGUUGCCGUGAGCUGUGGUGUAGGUUGCAGAUGUGGCUCGAAUCCAGCGUUGCUGUGGCCCUGGUAUAGGCCAGUGGCUACUGUUCCGGUUAGACCCCUAGCCUGGGAACCUCCAUAUGCUGUGAGGAGCGGCCCUAGAAAAGGCAAAAAGACAAAAAA